UUAUGCAACUCAAUGUGAUAAUUCUCGUGCUUCAACAGAUGUAAAUCCCGCUAUGCAAUGUGGCAGUUCUAAUGUAGAUGAUGAAGAAUGCAUUGAUAGUUUUAAUAUUUUUUCAACGUUUUCUAACACUCAAAGUAGUAGCAGGAAUUUUGAUGAACUUCAAUUUUACUUGCAGAAGCAAAAGGAGCCUCGCACCAAGGAAUUCUCA
RNAcentral lists this long non-coding RNA (208 nucleotides) under Nicotiana benthamiana. RNAcentral describes it as "long non-coding RNA (NBEN_LNC000432)". The record is from RNAcentral. Lineage: Eukaryota; Viridiplantae; Streptophyta; Magnoliopsida; Solanales; Solanaceae.